This 845-nucleotide long non-coding RNA is filed under the name Lactuca sativa (garden lettuce). RNAcentral describes it as "long non-coding RNA (LSAT_LNC009265)". The record is from RNAcentral. Lineage: Eukaryota; Viridiplantae; Streptophyta; Magnoliopsida; Asterales; Asteraceae.
ACAAUUAGUCUCCUAUAUAAAGGGGUGAACAAUAGGGAACACUAUGAGUCUCCUAUAUAAGGGGGCCAGUGGUUCUGUUGUUUCUUGUGAUAAGAUAUCAAAAUGGGAAAAAGUUUAUUUGUGAUCAUGUUGCUUCUUGCUCUUUUUACUACAAGCAUUUUACUUUAUUCUUUUUAUGCUUUUUGCUUAUGUAAUGUUAUUGCUUUUAUAUUCUUUUUGUUUCAUAUUCAGAUAUAAAGAUUUUUCUCAUGCAUGUCGUUUCUUUAAGUUUUGUUUUUAAUAAUAAAUAUGGAAAGUACAUGAUUAAUUAAUGAUGCUUUUGGAGUUUCAAAGUGGAUAUUAUAGAAACAAUAUUAAUCACCUGUACAUUUAUGUUAUCCGGGUGAGGGCUUUUUAAUCAUUAUAUACAAUUAUCAUGAAUACAAAGGAUAAGUACAAGUGAUAUAUAUACAUUAAGAUGAUAAUGAUGAAUUAAUGUGAUUUUGAGAGAAUAAAUAAAUGCGUAUAUAUACGUGACUGGUGAUGGAUUGUUUUGUUGUAGAUGAGACUUUUAUGACUUACACAGAAGCAAAGACAUGUACAUUGCCAAACACAAAAUAUUCUUGUUUGUCUGAAAAGAAGUGUGAUGAGGACUGCCGAGAUGGACCACCACCUGCUACUGGCGGCAAAUGUGAAAACAUUAACGGGAUUCCUCGAUGUGUCUGUUCCUGGACGUGUAGAUGAACAUAUGCUCUGAAAAGCUACUUAUAAUACCAUGUAAGUGUACACCAGUCACAUGACUUAAUUUCGUGUAUGCCAGCUGUCAUUUCUGAUGAUGUAUUUAAUAUCAAUAAAACGUUUGUGGG